AACGAACGCUGGCGGCAGGCUUAACACAUGCAAGUCGAACGAAGUCUUCGGACUUAGUGGCGCACGGGUGAGUAACGCGUGGAUAUCUGCCUUUUGGUUCGGAAUAACUCCGGGGAAACUGGAGCUAAUACCGGAUGGUUCCUACGGGAUAAAGAUUUAUCGCCAAAAGAUGAGUCCGCGUACGAUUAGCUAGUUGGUGAGGUAAUGGCUCACCAAGGCGACGAUCGUUAGCUGGUCUGAGAGGACGAUCAGCCACACUGGGACUGAGACACGGCCCAGACUCCUACGGGAGGCAGCAGUGGGGGAAUAUUGGACAAUGGGGGGCAACCCUGAUCCAGCCAUGCCGCGUGAGUGAUGAAGGCCUUCGGGUUGUAAAGCUCUUUUGGCGGGGACGAUGAUGACGGUACCCGCAGAAUAAGCCCCGGCUAACUUCGUGCCAGCAGCCG
This 446-nucleotide ribosomal RNA is filed under the name uncultured bacterium. RNAcentral describes it as "bacterial SSU rRNA". It matches the Rfam family "Bacterial small subunit ribosomal RNA", at positions 29 to 517 of the family's 1533-position model. The record is from RNAcentral.